Molecule: ribosomal RNA, 249 nt
Filed under: Ciliciopodium brevipes
Lineage: Eukaryota; Fungi; Ascomycota; Sordariomycetes; Hypocreales
Description: partial large subunit ribosomal RNA
Rfam family: Eukaryotic large subunit ribosomal RNA
Source: RNAcentral
CGUGAAAUUGUUGAAAGGGAAGCGCUUGCAAUCAGACUUGCGCGCUGUUGAUCAUCCGAGGUUCUCCCCGGUGCACUCGGCAGCGCUCAGGCCAGCAUCGGUUUCGGCGGGCGGAUAAAGGCCUUGGGAAUGUAGCUUCUUUCGGGGAGUGUUAUAGCCCUCGGUGCAAUGCGCCCUGCUGGGACCGAGGACCGCGCUUCGGCUAGGAUGCUGGCGUAAUGGUUGUAAGCGACCCGUCUUGAAACACGG